Long non-coding RNA from Helianthus annuus (common sunflower), 1183 nucleotides. RefSeq lists it as uncharacterized. The transcript has 5 exons. Lineage: Eukaryota; Viridiplantae; Streptophyta; Magnoliopsida; Asterales; Asteraceae. The record is from RefSeq and is a predicted model, not a curated record.
UCCAUUUACAAUAGUUGCUUCAGAUUCCCUUCACUCUAAUCAAUUCAAGCCAUUGAAUGCCAUAAUUAACCAUCUUGAAUGCUAGAAUCAACAAUUGCUGCUUCAAUUUCUCUUCACUGGUAUCGAUUGUUAUCAUUUUGAUGGUAUAAAUCAGAGUGAGUUGUUAGAGCUUCAUCUUUACUUCUAUUUGUUUCAGAUCGUUUGCGUUCUUGGUCACUCACAAUUUCAGGUUAUUCGAUGACAAAGGAGAGACAAGUUGUGGUAGAUCAGGCAACAGCGGUGGAUCUGGACACCGACGGCGACGACGGAAUAGGUUUCCAGCAAGUAUUCCGGUGACUACAGUGAUUUGGAGAAGUGUUUAGGGAAUAGCAGCGGUUUCGGGAAGCUUUGGUGGAAUGGUGGUCGUGUGAGCAGGUGGAUAAUGGGAUUGCGUCGACUUCAGGAUACUAGGAUACUGAUGGUAAAUUGAUAAUUGAGAUUGUGGUAUGCAUUUUUGUUAGUUUUGUUGUUCACCUUGAAUCUAGAAAUAAGGUAGGGUUUACACAGGUAUUGAAAGUUACUGAACUUGACAGCUACCAGACGCUGGUUAGACCACUUGAUCUUUCUCUCUUUUCAGCCGCAUUGAUACGCUACAACGGUAUUACUGCUGGCGACGUUGUUUCCUGCCCAACAUUCUCUGAGAUUGUAGAUAAGGUUUACGACAUCUUGCAAGCAAGAGUGUGGGCGGGUCUCAAUAUAGUGGAGUUUGAUUGUGUGAGGUUAAAGGAGGCGUAUGCGCAGAUAAACCAAAAACUUCCUGUACCCAAGGGAACCAUGGAUACAUUGAAAUUGUUGACUGGGACGUUUGGGAGGAGAACCGAUAACAUGAAGGAAAUAAAGAAAAGUGAUGAUUCUGAAGAGACAUUGCUUGAAAACAAAAGUCCCGAGGUGGAGGCAGUAGAAAUGCUGGUAAAAUGGAAGAAGAGAAAGGCGUCUGUUUCAGGUGAGUAGCUUUAUCACAAGAUUCAUUAUCAUUUGCAUGCUCCAGUGCAUAAUCUACAAUCCCUCUCAACCCAGAUUCCCACAACCUCCUAACAGUCUGGCCCGUUUCAACGGUACCCACACCCGCCACAAAAUGAUUAUACGCCGUAUGUUUAAUCAUCGUCAAUACCACAGCCCGAAACAACCCCACGUCCAUCAAUCG